CAGUCGUACGCUUCUUUUUCACCGGAGCUUGCUCCACCGGAAAAAGAAGAGUGGCGAACGGGUGAGUAACACGUGGGUAACCUGCCCAUCAGAAGGGGAUAACACUUGGAAACAGGUGCUAAUACCGUAUAACAAUCGAAACCGCAUGGUUUUGAUUUGAAAGGCGCUUUCGGGUGUCGCUGAUGGAUGGACCCGCGGUGCAUUAGCUAGUUGGUGAGGUAACGGCUCACCAAGGCUACGAUGCAUAGCCGACCUGAGAGGGUGAUCGGCCACAUUGGGACUGAGACACGGCCCAAACUCCUACGGGAGGCAGCAGUAGGGAAUCUUCGGCAAUGGACGAAAGUCUGACCGAGCAACGCCGCGUGAGUGAAGAAGGUUUUCGGAUCGUAAAACUCUGUUGUUAGAGAAGAACAAGGAUGAGAGUAACUGUUCAUCCCUUGACGGUAUCUAACCAGAAAGCCACGGCUAACUACGUGCCAGCAGCCGCGGUAAUACGUAGGUGGCAAGCGUUGUCCGGAUUUAUUGGGCGUAAAGCGAGCGCAGGCGGUUUCUUAAGUCUGAUGUGAAAGCCCCCGGCUCAACCGGGGAGGGUCAUUGGAAACUGGGAGACUUGAGUGCAGAAGAGGAGAGUGGAAUUCCAUGUGUAGCGGUGAAAUGCGUAGAUAUAUGGAGGAACACCAGUGGCGAAGGCGGCUCUCUGGUCUGUAACUGACGCUGAGGCUCGAAAGCGUGGGGAGCAAACAGGAUUAGAUACCCUGGUAGUCCACGCCGUAAACGAUGAGUGCUAAGUGUUGGAGGGUUUCCGCCCUUCAGUGCUGCAGCUAACGCAUUAAGCACUCCGCCUGGGGAGUACGACCGCAAGGUUGAAACUCAAAGGAAUUGACGGGGGCCCGCACAAGCGGUGGAGCAUGUGGUUUAAUUCGAAGCAACGCGAAGAACCUUACCAGGUCUUGACAUCCUUUGACCACUCUAGAGAUAGAGCUUCCCCUUCGGGGGCAAAGUGACAGGUGGUGCAUGGUUGUCGUCAGCUCGUGUCGUGAGAUGUUGGGUUAAGUCCCGCAACGAGCGCAACCCUUAUUGUUAGUUGCCAUCAUUCAGUUGGGCACUCUAGCAAGACUGCCGGUGACAAACCGGAGGAAGGUGGGGAUGACGUCAAAUCAUCAUGCCCCUUAUGACCUGGGCUACACACGUGCUACAAUGGGAAGUACAACGAGUCGCGAAGUCGCGAGGCUAAGCUAAUCUCUUAAAGCUUCUCUCAGUUCGGAUUGUAGGCUGCAACUCGCCUACAUGAAGCCGGAAUCGCUAGUAAUCGCGGAUCAGCACGCCGCGGUGAAUACGUUCCCGGGCCUUGUACACACCGCCCGUCACACCACGAGAGUUUGUAACACCCGAAGUCGGUGAGGUAACC
Molecule: ribosomal RNA, 1408 nt
Filed under: Enterococcus durans
Lineage: Bacteria; Bacillati; Bacillota; Bacilli; Lactobacillales; Enterococcaceae
Description: bacterial SSU rRNA
Rfam family: Bacterial small subunit ribosomal RNA
Source: RNAcentral